ACGAACGCUGGCGGCGUGCUUAACCCAUGCAAGUCGAACGGAAAGGCCCUGCUUUUGUGGGGUGCUCGAGUGGCGAACGGGUGAGUAACACGUGAGUAACCUGCCCUUGACUUUGGGAUAACUUCAGGAAACUGGGGCUAAUACCGGAUAGGAGCUCCUGCUGCAUGGUGGGGGUUGGAAAGUUUCGGCGGUUGGGGAUGGACUCGCGGCUUAUCAGCUUGUUGGUGGGGUAGUGGCUUACCAAGGCUUUGACGGGUAGCCGGCCUGAGAGGGUGACCGGCCACAUUGGGACUGAGAUACGGCCCAGACUCCUACGGGAGGCAGCAGUGGGGAAUAUUGCACAAUGGGCGGAAGCCUGAUGCAGCAACGCCGCGUGCGGGAUGACGGCCUUCGGGUUGUAAACCGCUUUCGCCUGCGACGAAGCGUGAGUGACGGUAAUGGGUAAAGAAGCACCGGCUAACUACGUG
Molecule: ribosomal RNA, 467 nt
Filed under: uncultured bacterium
Lineage: Bacteria
Description: partial 16S ribosomal RNA
Rfam family: Bacterial small subunit ribosomal RNA
Source: RNAcentral